This 383-nucleotide unclassified non-coding RNA is filed under the name soil metagenome. Its description in RNAcentral is "partial contains 5.8S ribosomal RNA, internal transcribed spacer 2, and large subunit ribosomal RNA". The stretch from base 1 to 120 matches the Rfam family "5.8S ribosomal RNA", at positions 35 to 154 of the family's 154-position model. The record is from RNAcentral.
GAUGAAGAACGCAGCGAAAUGCGAUAAGUAAUUUGAAUUGCAGAAUUCAGUGAAUCAUCGAAUCUUUGAACGCACCUUGCGCUCCUUGGUAUUCCGAGGAGCAUGCCUGUUUGAGUGUCAUGAAAUUCUCAACCUUUCUGGCUUUUGCUAGUCAGGCUUGGAUUAUGGGAGCUGCUGGCUUUUGAAGUCGGCUCUUCUAAAAUGUAUUAGCAAGAUCAUUGCUGCUCAUCAUUGGUAUGAUAAUUAUCUAUAUCAUUGAGAGUCAGUUUCCUUUAUUGGAAGAUUUUGCUCCUAACGGUCUUUAGCAAGACAACAUUUGACGAUUUUGACCUCAAAUCAGGUAGGACUACCCGCUGAACUUAAGCAUAUCAAUAAGCGGAGGA